AAAACCAUCCUAAUGCACCAUGAUUCUUGUUUAUAUGUGCACAAGCAAACUAUCCUAUAUUUCAUGUAAAAGAAAGACAAGCUUUAAUCAGUUACAAGGAAAACCAAUGCAUGGAGAAAAGCUAGAUUAUCAUUUAUAAUGGCAUACAACAUUGAUUUAAAUAUUAGCAUGAAUGACAACUGUCAAAAUCCAGAAAAUGUCUCACUGUCAUUGGAAGUUACUUAAUGCCGCUUCAUUCGUACAUGUACGGACCAACAAUGAAAUACAAAGGUAAAAGGAAG
This 281-nucleotide unclassified non-coding RNA is filed under the name Hevea brasiliensis (rubber tree). The record is from RNAcentral. Lineage: Eukaryota; Viridiplantae; Streptophyta; Magnoliopsida; Malpighiales; Euphorbiaceae.